AAUUGCCAUCGAGAAGGCUACUAAGGCUGCCGAGGGAUAGACAGCUGUUGCCGAGGCCUUUACUCAAGAUGUUGCUGCUUGAAUGAUCGUUGACUUUAAGAAUUCUCAAGAUUUUGCAGAAGAAGUCGCAAAGGGAUCAGCAGAAGCUUACCAACUUGGCUUCAAGGAUUGCAAGACCCAAGUUGUUCAAUUGUAUCCUUAAGUCAACUUGAGCAAACUUGGAGUUGUAGACGAAGUUGAAGAGGAACUUGGGAUAGCCUUAGAGCAACCGCAGGCAGAGCCCAAGGCCUUCAAAGAUGCCGCAGAACCCCCAGCUGUCCCUUGUCCCAAGGUGUUCGUCGAUGCUUCUAUUGAGGUUUAAUCUUUUUAUUACUUUUUUAGACUUUAUAAUGAAAAGAACUUGUAAUGAAACCUUUCUUAACGAAAAGCUUACUUUUUGGUUGAAAUAUUGUUUCUUCAAUUUUCUUUAUUGCUCACUUUCUGUUCCACGCA
This 492-nucleotide long non-coding RNA is filed under the name Elaeis guineensis (African oil palm). Its description in RNAcentral is "long non-coding RNA (EGUI_LNC060186)". Lineage: Eukaryota; Viridiplantae; Streptophyta; Magnoliopsida; Arecales; Arecaceae. The record is from RNAcentral.